RNAcentral lists this ribosomal RNA (445 nucleotides) under uncultured bacterium. RNAcentral's name for it is "partial 16S ribosomal RNA". It matches the Rfam family "Bacterial small subunit ribosomal RNA", at positions 330 to 792 of the family's 1533-position model. The record is from RNAcentral.
ACCAGACUCCUACGGGAGGCAGCAGUGGGGAAUAUUGCACAAUGGGGGAAACCCUGAUGCAGCGACGCCGCGUGAGCGAUGAAGUAUUUCGGUAUGUAAAGCUCUAUCAGCAGGGAAGAAAAUGACGGUACCUGACUAAGAAGCCCCGGCUAACUACGUGCCAGCAGCCGCGGUAAUACGUAGGGGGCGAGCGUUAUCCGGAUUCACUGGGUGUAAAGGGAGCGUAGACGGCCAAGCAAGCCAGGGGUGAAAGCCCGGGGCCCAACCCCGGGACUGCCCUUGGAACUGCUUGGCUGGAGUGCGGGAGGGGCAGGCGGAAUUCCUGGUGUAGCGGUGAAAUGCGUAGAUAUUAGGAGGAACACCAGUGGCGAAGGCGGCCUGCUGGACGAUGACUGACGCUGAGGCUCGAAAGCGUGGGGAGCAAACAGGAUUAGAUACCCCAGUA